CGCGUAGGCGGCCACCGCAAGUCGACUGUGAAAUCUCUGGGCUUAACCCAGAACGGUCAGCCGAUACUGCGGGGCUAGAGUGCAGAAGGGGCAACUGGAAUUCUCGGUGUAGCGGUGAAAUGCGUAGAUAUCGAGAGGAACACCUGCGGCGAAGGCGGGUUGCUGGGCUGACACUGACGCUGAGGCGCGAAAGCUAGGGGAGCGAACG
RNAcentral lists this ribosomal RNA (208 nucleotides) under uncultured bacterium. RNAcentral describes it as "partial 16S ribosomal RNA". It matches the Rfam family "Bacterial small subunit ribosomal RNA", at positions 568 to 774 of the family's 1533-position model. The record is from RNAcentral.